Long non-coding RNA from Mus musculus (house mouse), 434 nucleotides. RefSeq annotates it as predicted gene, 30206. Lineage: Eukaryota; Metazoa; Chordata; Mammalia; Rodentia; Muridae. The record is from RefSeq and is a predicted model, not a curated record. The transcript has 3 exons.
AUUCUGCAUGGGGCAGAGCAACAGAUUUCAACAGCACCUACCUAGGGGACCAUCUGGAAACUGCCCAGUUUGGAGAGACGCAGGCUCCAGCCCAUGUUCUAAGCUUAGACUGUAUGUGCUGAGAUCUUCUGGGACCCUGGCUUUGAGACACGCACACUUUGACCUCACAACCCAGGCCUGCCCUGGGGCAGGAAGACUUCCUUGUAGUAUCAUAAUUCAGAAGGUGGGAGAGAACCUGACUUUGGGCUACAGAGAUUUGCAACCCAGCUCAGGAACUUUCGGUUGGGACCGUGGUAACUCACACAUAUUCCCCCCCCACCCCCGAACUUGCACUUGGCAGCACCUCCCAACUUUGUUAAUGGAAACCUACUGAUCCGUGACACGCGCAUGGCAGACAUCUGCUCGGGGUAAUGCGCUGGUAAUGUACGUAUUGA